UCUGGCCUGCCCACUGAGAAAUUUUUGAAGGGCCGCGGUAUUUUGACCGUGCAAAGGUAGCAUAAUCAUUAGUCUUUUAAUUGGGGGCUGGAAUGAAUGGUUUGACGAAGUAUUGGCUGUCUCAUGAUAAAUAAUUAGAAUUUAACUUUUUAGUUAAAAGGCUAAAAUAAUUUUAUAGGACGAGAAGACCCUAUAGAGCUUUAUAAUUAUAUAUAAGAUUGUAUUUGGUUGUUGGUUAUGAUUUUAUUAUAUAUUUAUUAAGUUGGGGUGACUUAAAGAUUUAAUAAACUCUUUUAUUGUAAACCAUUAAUUUAUGAAUGGUUGAUCCAUUAUUGAUGAUUAUAAGAUUAAGUUACCUUAGGGAUAACAGCGUAAUUUUUUUUGAGAGUUCUUAUCAACAAAGAAGAUUGCGACCUCGAUGUUGGAUUAAGGAAUAUAGGUGGGUGUAGAAGUUUACUUUAUAGGUCUGUUCGAC
This 475-nucleotide ribosomal RNA is filed under the name Stenopelmatus sp. MCJ-2002. RNAcentral's name for it is "partial 16S ribosomal RNA". It matches the Rfam family "Bacterial large subunit ribosomal RNA", at positions 1853 to 2585 of the family's 2925-position model. The record is from RNAcentral. Lineage: Eukaryota; Metazoa; Arthropoda; Insecta; Orthoptera; Stenopelmatidae.